This 226-nucleotide ribosomal RNA is filed under the name uncultured bacterium. Its description in RNAcentral is "partial 16S ribosomal RNA". It matches the Rfam family "Bacterial small subunit ribosomal RNA", at positions 1277 to 1500 of the family's 1533-position model. The record is from RNAcentral.
AAACGUCGGUCCCAGUUCGGAUCGCAGGCUGCAACCCGCCUGCGUGAAGCCGGAGUUGCUAGUAAUCGCGGAUCAGCAUGCCGCGGUGAAUACGUUCCCGGGCCUUGUACACACCGCCCGUCACACCACCCGAGUCGUCUGCACCCGAAGCCGCCGGCCGAACCCUCUUGGGGCGGAGGCGUCGAAGGUGUGGAGGGUGAGGGGGGUGAAGUCGUAACAAGGUAAC